This is a long non-coding RNA of Pseudopipra pipra, 346 nucleotides long. RefSeq lists it as uncharacterized. The record is from RefSeq and is a predicted model, not a curated record. The transcript has 3 exons. NCBI's taxonomy places the organism in Eukaryota, Metazoa, Chordata, Aves, Passeriformes, Pipridae.
CUGUCCCACAGCCCCCAGCCCUGCCCUGAGCUCUGCCCUGCCCCACCUGGCCGGGCUCAACCCCAGGACCUUCAGGCUCCUGCAGGCUGAGCGGCGGCUGCUCCAAAAUGCUGUCAGGAACGUCCUGGACGGGGAGUUACUGGGCAGGUUCCUGUACCUGAGCGCCAUGGAGAGGGGGGAGCUGGCCAAGAAAAUCGGGACCACCCCGGAUAUGAUCCUGGACGACCUCCUGGAGAUCGACCGAGUCACGGCCCACUUCUGAGGGGCUUCGGGACCCCCAAUUCCCCCCCACUCCCACCCCAAAAUCCCCCCAAAGUGCACAUUUGUAAUAAAACCCAAACCCCCA